This is a long non-coding RNA of Symphalangus syndactylus (siamang), 2198 nucleotides long. RefSeq lists it as uncharacterized. Lineage: Eukaryota; Metazoa; Chordata; Mammalia; Primates; Hylobatidae. The record is from RefSeq and is a predicted model, not a curated record.
UUCUUGCCAGCUAUACUCCCUCCCUCCAUUCUUCCUUGAAGUCACAAUCCUCUGUUGGUGACAUCACAGUUGUUGAUACAAUAGCCAACUGUUGUGAUGUCACAGGACUCAACUUUUGUCAUUUUAGGUGGGGGUGCUGGGGUGGAGAAUGUGACAGAGGACAAGAAUAGAAUACAGUUAUAGAACUGGAAUUCGCUUUUUCUUGCUAAUUUCCCUGAUAAUGAAGGGCAGUGACUCAGAAAAGGAAAGGCAAGCCUCUGGCAGCAAGGCUGUGUGUAGAUUCAUCUAUACCAAGGGGAGGAUGGUGGGGAGGCAGGGAGGAGACAAAAGAAAAGAAUUUCGAAUUCCAGGAUUGGCCAAAUAUGAAGAUGCUCUUAGUCUGGCCAAGUCCAGGACCUUCUCUUUCCCUCACCUAUCGCCUGAGCCCAGAAAUAUGUUCCAGAGGACAAGGACUGUGUUGUUCAUCACAGUAUUCCAGAACUUAAAAGGAACUGGCACAUAAUUGGAGCUUACUAAUAUUUGUCAAAAAAAUGAACAAAUGAGGCAAUGACAAUGGUCUUGUGAAGCUGCUGCUAUUUACGGAGACUCACUCAUUCCGCAAGUAUUUUUUGCACCCCCUACCACACUCCACUCAGUUACAUGCUGGGAAUACCACAGUAAAGGCAGAUAAGUCCUCAAUCUCCCUGUAGGAAGCUUGGGGAAUGUGCCUCCUGCCCUCUUCUAGACCAGUCAGCAUGCUCACCAAGCACACUAAAGCCACCCAAGUCACAGCUGACUCAUGCCAUUGCUCUUUGUAAUGAGGUAUGACAUGUUUCUAAGCUCUUGUAUAUUUUUAUAUUUGUAGCCUACAAUUAGGCAUUUUUGAGGGAUGUAGCUGACUAGGGGUUCUGUUCAGUGACCUAUAAUUAUACAUUCAGGCAUCAUGGUCAAUCCAGGCAACUCUCAGGCCUGCAGGAACCUCAUGGAGGAAGCCACUUGGCUCUAAGAAGCUCCAGAGAAUACUGUAGUAAUGUGGCUUAGAAGGGCCACACUGCCCCUCCUUCCUGCUCUUGGAGGCACUCCCUCUAUGUCCCCUUCAUCUCCCUUAUCACUCACUGCCUGACUCAGCAAUGCCUGCCAAGCCCAAGUGCUGACACAUUUGUGGAUCUAGUGCCAGCAGAGGACGACUUUGAGGGACAGUCUCCAUUGCCAAGGUAACAGCAAUGUAAAGCAACUUCUUUUUUUUUUUUUUUUUUUUUUGAGACAGAGUCUCACUUUGUCACCCAGGCUGGAGUGCAGUGGCACGAUCUCAGCUCCCCACAACCUCUGCUUCCCAGGUUCAUGUAAUUCUCGUGCCUCAGCCUCCUGAGUAGCUGGGAUUACAGGCACAUACCACCACUCCCAGCCAAUUUUUGUAUUUUUAGUAGAGACGGAGUUUCACCAUGUUGGCCAGGCUGGUCUUGAACUCCUGACCUCAAGUGAUUCGCCCGCCUUGGCCUCCCAAAGUGCUGGGAUUACAGGUGUGAACCACCGUGCCUGGUCAUAAAGCAACUUCAAAAAACUCCCAUAAGCGUCUCAUCUUAGAAAAAAGGGGUCACACACCCCGUUCAUGGGACCCUGCAGUCAGCUGCUGUGCCUCCGCUCUGAGCCAGCCUUUUUGCCACCUGUUGCAGUGGUCACACUGAUCCUAAUCCUCCCCCAUGCAAAUGCCUACCACCUAGCUUUACCACUAUUUCCCUGGCUGGGAAAGAAGGACUGGUUUAGCACAAAAAAUCUGUCCCUUAUGACAUUUCACAUAUACAUUUGGCUCCAAUAAAACUCAUUUGUUGGGCCAAGUGCGGUGGCUCAUGACUGUAGUCUCAGCACUGUGGGAGGCCAAGGCAGGCAGAUCACCUGAACCCAGGAGUUCAAGACCAGCCUGGGUAACAUAGUGAGGCUCCAUAUCUACAAAACAUAAAAAAGAAAUAAAGGGGCAAAAAAAGAUUUCUUGAUUUUUUUUAAGAGCAGCUCAAAUCCUGGCAUUUAAUCAAAGAGACUGCCAGUAGCCCACCUUUGUGUAGCUGUGAAGGGCAAUUGUGGCCCAUGCUCAGAGCAGCAUCUGCAUUAAGUAUGAGCCCAGUAUCUAAACUACAAUUACUUUGCAAGUUUCCCUUCUUCCCCAAUGCAAAGUACUUUAGAGUACUUUAUACUGUUCAAAAACACUUUCACAUAUUAUCUCA